Molecule: long non-coding RNA, 1124 nt
Organism: Pogoniulus pusillus (Red-fronted tinkerbird)
Lineage: Eukaryota; Metazoa; Chordata; Aves; Piciformes; Lybiidae
Exons: 2
Source: RefSeq, a predicted model, not a curated record
GAGAGGCCAAGCAUCAUCUGAGGUUCGUGGCAGCCCCUGUGCUCAAGCCCUGAGGUGCAAGUGGGGCAAGAUUCUUCCUGCCUCUUGCCACUGGACUCGUCUUGCUCCGUGUGACCCAGCCAGGCUGCAAGGUGAAAUGCAGUUUGGGUUCUUGCUUUGCAGUCGCUGAAACGAAAGCAAAACCUUGCAGCAACAGUACCGACAGUGAGACUCGUUGUGUGGCCCCCCCUGCCUGCCUUCUUUGCUUCCUUGCAGCCUGAGGCUUUACCUUUAGGAGGACAGGAGAGGACACACAGCUUUGCAGGCUGGAGAGGAGGUCCGAUGCCAGCACUGAGCAGGUUUUGAAUUCCUGAAAAAGAAGCCCUGAGAAGCAGCAAAUGAACUGGAAUUGAGUUUGGAUGUUCCAAGCCCAUUACAUUGGGACACUUUCCUUUAAAUUGCUUAUUAAUCUCACCUUGCCACACAGAGCUUCAAGAACAUACUUCUCUUCACCCUAACAUUAUACCUUUACAAAUGAGGGAAAUGUCAACUCUUGAUUUACUGACAAAGCAGACAACUGACACAAUUUAUCUCACUUGAGAUCAGUUCAUCAAACUUGGGAGUAUCUUGGCUGCUGUAAAACUCAGGCAUUUGAUACCAGCCCUGCUGCUUAAAAUGCAAAGCAUAACCUACAUUUUUAAAACGCUGUAAAAGGAACAAGAAGUGAUGCCAGGAUGAAAAUUUAUGAGGCAUGGAGCUGGGAUCUGAAUGUAGCAUUUGCUGUGUAGUGGAGUGUUGUUACUAUCUUGUUUGCACAGUUGAAAAGGGGAUGUUAAUGGAAAGAUCCAGCACAGGAGAGCUGAGAGCUGUUUGCAUUCUGGUCCAGUGCUGCCCUGACCUGGUGCUGUACAGGAAUCUUUUAACAUUCAUCCCUGAUUUAAUGGGGUGUUGUUUGAUGUGGUUGGGUCCUUGUUAGUGCAGCUCUGACUCCAGCAGCACGUUUGAGUGCUUGUUGCAUUCAAAUGCUGAAUUAUACCUUCUCUGGAGACAUUCAAAGCCUGCCUGGAUCUGCUCCUGUGUGGCCUGCCCUAGGUGAUGCUGCUCUGGGGGGGUGUGUUUAAUAAAAGGCUGGAUGUGGUGCUCAG